Molecule: unclassified non-coding RNA, 240 nt
Filed under: soil metagenome
Description: partial contains 5.8S ribosomal RNA, internal transcribed spacer 2, and large subunit ribosomal RNA
Source: RNAcentral
AACAAGGCGUACCUGCGGACCUGCGGAGGGAUCAUUACUGAGUCACGUGCUCAAACAACCCUUCUGUGGACCCGAAAUAAAACCGUUGCCUCGGCGGGCGGUCCCCCCCAAACCAACCCCACGUGGUGGGUUAGGGGAGACCAGACAGUCCGGUACGCUUAAGGCGUCCGGCGCCAGCCGCUGGCCCCAAACAAUUAAACUCUAGUAAUCUUUACCUUCUGAGUUUCAAUAUUUAAAAAU